AUUACUCUCGUCUAGAUGGUCACGUCUGACGACACUGAGGCGGAAGCCGGAAGAAAAACAACAACCGGUUUGUUUCAUAUUCUGAGCUUCUUCUUUUUUUUCAAAGAGCACUACUAUAUACAAUGGACGUGGUGGAGACCAAACUCACAGGGUCCCCUGGGCCCAAAGGUAUCCAUGGAGACCAAGUAAUGCAGACCCUGAGGGGGUGAAGCAGGAGGACUGUGGGCCCCUAACAACACCCCUAACAACGUACCUGAGUUUUGCUCAUGUGAAAACAGAAGAAGAGGAGGAAGAGAUAUGGGGUGUGGCUCACCCAAGUACAGGGUUCUUCAACGUCAAGAAAGAGGAAGAGGAAGAAGCCAUAAUAUAUCCUAUACAGCCUAAUGACAACCCAAGCCCUACUUCUGACCUUACCAGCCACAGUUCUGACGACUCCAGCCCUGACAAUGGCCCUAGAGCCACCCCUGACAAUGGCCCUAGAGCCACCCCUGACAAGAACAACCCCCACCAUAAUAGCGACCCCAGGUCUGGCCCUGCCGGUGGAGGGGCAUCGGACAAGGACCCUGCAUCCAGAGAGGAAGACGAGGAGGGAGAGGAGAGGAGCCCCCAGAUCUCAGCAAACCCAGGGACUAAGCCCAACAAGACCAAAGGCGGUCGUCAGAGA
Long non-coding RNA from Oncorhynchus keta (chum salmon), 664 nucleotides. RefSeq lists it as uncharacterized. The transcript is spliced from 4 exons. The record is from RefSeq and is a predicted model, not a curated record. NCBI's taxonomy places the organism in Eukaryota, Metazoa, Chordata, Actinopteri, Salmoniformes, Salmonidae.